UAAGAAUGUUUUUCUGUGGACUCCAUUGAAGUUAAAGUUAAAUCAUAAUUUUAACACAUAUAUGUCCCCCAAUAAUACCCUAAGGACCUAAUAUGCAUUAGGUAGAUAAAGAAACCAACACAAUUAUUAAGAUAAACAAUAACUUUUAUUUAAUGAAUACAUUAACAAAUCUCAAACAAGAAUGUACAAAUGUCUUCACUUUUUUCAGUCUGUCCUAACAUAAACAAGGUGAACAAGUCAGAUAUAUGUGAUCUUACUGUCAAUAGCACCUCACUCAAUAUUGACGGAUAAUUAUUGUAAUCUAAAGUUCAACUGUAAUAAAAAUUAGUUAUCUCAAUAAUCAUAUUUAAAAAGAAUCAUAUUCAAGAUGUUUAGACAAUCAAAUAUGAGUAUACUUAUACUGUGAUCCUAGGUUUAUGAACCCUUAGAGAGGAACAUUUUACGUGAAAUGUUUUGUGAAAUGAAAAAGAUAUAUAUUCAAAUAUCUCAAUCGUUGCAUUUUCUGUAUAGCUACUAAAUUAAAGCAUGAAGAUUGCCAGGAUCAAAUACUCUUAGUGUCAGAUUAGUAAGGGUAGGGAUUUUACCAAGAAAUUAUUAGAUGUGAAAUGCAUUCAUGGAAAGAUAUUGAUGCUAGAAACAUUGGUAAUGACAAAAUAACUUUUUUUUGGAUGAAGGCCACAUUAAUUGCUGAAUACCAGUGUUUAGGUAUUCAACUAAAAUCAGUUCCAUGGGAGAUUUUCUCACUAACAUUUCAUUAUGCUAUUAUUUGACAAGAAAUGAACAUCAAUUAAAAUAGAGUAUCAAAACUAUCUUGGUCAAAUACAAUAAGUCCUCAACAUCCUACUUUUUAAUUAAAUUGACAGAAAUUUAUUGACCAUUUGUUGUGUCUUGACUAUGUUUUUUUAAUAUUUCCCUAGGUAAUAAUUGCUUGUGCAGUGCUGCAUAAUAUCAGCAAGGACAGGAAUGUCCCAAUGCCAGCUCCAAGUGGGAGCAGCGGUCAACCUGGACAGCUGAGGGCACAGAUGCAAGGUCUGCCAGCCAUUGCUCCUACAGCAUCAGGAGCCAGAUACAGGGAACAAUUUGCGAUCAGCUUCUUUUAAUAAGGCUGAUGCUGGCACUGACAGGCUGUCUUCUCUGGCAGGUGGUAAACGUUCACCAUGUCCUGGACCUCGUCACUGACCAUGAUUGGGCUACAACAAAAUCAUGAUUUGUAAAAUACAUAAGAGAAUGAAAUACAUGUUCAUAAUAUUUCCAUA
This is a long non-coding RNA of Haliotis rubra (blacklip abalone), 1256 nucleotides long. RefSeq lists it as uncharacterized. NCBI's taxonomy places the organism in Eukaryota, Metazoa, Mollusca, Gastropoda, Lepetellida, Haliotidae. The record is from RefSeq and is a predicted model, not a curated record. The transcript has 2 exons.